AAAUCAAAUUUAGGGACUUUACUGACGGGACUCUGGGCUGGCUGCUCUGUUCACUCGUCAGCGCAAGUGGCGUGACCAUGUAAUUGGGGCACGGGGCCGGCGCGGCGCGCUGCGGGCUUGCAGAAUUUUGUUUGUUUGUUUGGCCGCGCGCUGGCGCAGCCACGGGCCGCAGUUACUGGGGCGCGCUGUCGUAACAAGCCGCGCGGUGUGGCCUGCACAUCGGGGUAGAGGGGGGUAGCCUUCCCAGAUGUUCUAGUUAGUUGUUUAGUAAAUUUGACUUCAAUAACGAGCUUUUGUUAUGGUAGGCGCGGCAGGGCGCGCGAAUUUAAGCGCAAGUGAGUGGUGACUCGGGGCUCACUCAGGCGGAGGCUAUGCGUCUCACCUGUGGUCACGAGUUGUUAGUUCGUUCGUGAUGUAGGAAUUCAGGCUCACUCAGGCGGAGGCUAUGCGUCUCACCUGUGGUCACGAGUUGUUAGUUCGUUCGUGAUGUAGGAAUUCAGGCUCACUCAGGCGGAGGCUAUGCGUCUCACCUGUGGUCACGAGUUGUUAGUUCGUUCGUGAUGUAGGAAUUCAAGCUUUCGGGCGGAAGCUAUGGCCGACGCCAGAGGCCACGAGUCGUUUAAUUUAAGUUAGGUCAUAAUGUAGUCAUCUUCAAGCUUUCGGGCGGAGGCAAUGGCCCUUGUCACUAGUCGUUUAGUUAUAAUUUUUUAAAAUGUAAUGUUCGUUCGGAUUUUAAGGGCAGGAGAGGCCCCUACGUUAGUUUUAAGUAAUCGAUCAAGAAAGGCUUUUCGGAAAAUGUGAGUAUGGACUUAUCUUUGUUUUAAUUUUAAGUAUUAAUUAUGAUUUGAGGUAUUCGGAAGGACUAGGGAAGUGUUUAGUGAAGUUCUCUCAUUCUCUCUCUUGUAAGGUCGUUCAAUCGUUAAGGAAGUAAAGAGAUUAUUGUUUUAAAUUGUAAUCCCGCUAUUUAAAUGUUCUUUAAAAUGAUGUUGAGUAUUUGACUUUAAGAAUAAAAUAAUUUUAAUUAAGUAUUAUGUUAUUUUGCAAAAUCUCCUUAGUUCAGCUCUCACCAGACAUCCUGUACGGGAUGACGAACCUAUGAUCCUAGGUACAGUAAAGUAUUUUAUGAAGUUAAGACUAGUUGAUGCCAAGCGAGUUGUUUCUAUGUAAAGAGCUACGAUUCUCUCCCCCCUCUGAAAGUGAGACGUGACAGAAAUGGUGGAGGCGCCGGGUAGGUUCUAUUUCUGGAGAGAGAGAGAGGUAGAUUUUUAUGUUUAUUAUUAAGUUAGUUUCAGCUUCUGAUAGCAGGUUAUUAAGAGUUUACUUGAGGAGAGGAUUACGGAAUUUAAUCUAAGUGGAGGAAGUCUUUGAGAUUUUUUUUUGACGUAACAGAUGUUUAUUUGAGUAUACUUGUAAGGAUAAAGUUUAUAGUGAUAAGUUGUUUUAAGUCGUUGAAUUUAUUGUAGAUUUAUAUCGGGGAUUAUUACGUGAGGAGAAUACGUUAUAAGUUAAAUGCUUAUUAGAGAUAAUGCAAGUGGUUUAAUUUAAUUGAAGUUCAUUUUAAGAUUGUAGGUUAAGAGAAUUAUAAUUUAAAAUAAAGUUUUUUGUCGUAAAUAGGAAUUAUUUUCAAGAGAAGUUUGUUUUGUUUUCGUGCGCGUAGGAGACGAGACGUACGAAUUAAAUCAGUCGAGGGAAGGAUAAACGUUAGAAAGGAAUUAAAGAGAAAACGAGAGUUUAUGUAAAAGAGAGUUAUAGAAUUUAUAGUGAUGUUUUGUUUUAAUUAGAAAAAUGUUGAGAGUUGUUUCAGAACGACACGUCAGUGGACGUGGCAGAAUGAACACGUGACGGGGAGGUGCUGAGACCUAGCGGAGAACGGAGGAACCGCAAGCGAGGGUUGGCGCACCUGAUGGAAUUCGGUGACGUCACGGGCUCAUACGGAGACGUGGACAGGCCGUGACCUUGUUUUGAUCAGCUGUACGGUAACUUAGCGAUAAGAAAAUAGACUAUUGGUUAAAUAAAUUUAAAUUUAAGUGUGUUUUAGAAGAAGAGGAACUUUCAGUAUAUUCCUUAAGAUGAGCUGAGCAGCAGUCCAGUUUACAAGAUGACAAGAGUUCGAGAGACAAGAUACAAGAUCACUGAAACAAGAGCCAAGACUGAAGAUUCAAGAGAAGAGAAAGCUGGCAGCCAUGGACUUACAAGUGGAGAUUAAUAAGGUCAUGUAAAGUUUUAUUUUUUUAUGGAAGACAGUAACUGGAGUUUUUUUUGUUAUAAACAUUAUUUACAGAACUUUUUAGGUUAUAGUAAUGUAAUGGAACUAGUGAGUUGUGGUAGCUGUCAAAAAGAACUAAUACCUUAAGUUUAAUUUUUAAAGUUAAUUUUCUUAAUUUACAGAGGGAUUAGUAGUUUUUUUUUUAAAACCUUAUUUAGGUUGGAAUUUAAAUACAAUAGCUUAUUAUAAAUGUGUACGAACAGUUCAAGUUCACAGUACUGAUAGGUAGGUCAGAUGAUCUUAUUGAUUUUGAUGAUUUGUUGUUUUGAGUUGAUUUUUAGGUGUUGUGAAUUAGACAAUGAAAUAGUUUUGAAAACUUAAAUUAUUUCAAGCUAAGAAAUAGUAAAUUUAAUUGUAACUCAAAGGACACCAGAAUUUAAUUUUUUUUUGAAUUAGUAAUGUUUGAAAAUUUUAUACUUUACAAGAAAGGUUAUAAACAAACAGAUCGGAUGGAACAAGGAUGCAGUAAAUCACAAUUUCAUUUAGAAUUAUUGAUUUGCUUUUGAGGUUAUGAAGGAAAAGUAGCUAUAAUUUAAAAAUUUGAAUAAAAAUGGUUUUUUUUUAAUUUGUUUGAAAUAGAAAAUUUAAAAGUUAAUUAGUCAUGAUCUAGGUGGGUGAUGGGGUGGGAAUUGGCCACUCUUUUUCCCUAUAACCUCCCUAACAUGGCCUUCUAUUACAUCUAACAGAAAAAAAAAAGAAGAAAAAGAAGACUUAUUAUUAGUUAGAAUGUUUUUUUAUGAAGAUACCUGAUGAACUUUUUUUUUAUUGUUGGGAAGAAUAGUAGCAAGAUUAAUCAGAUGUUUUACUCAGAAGAAGAAGAAGAAGAAGAUAAAGCAGUUUUAUGACUCGACAAGCCAGAGAUUGGUGUUUCCCCUCUGCGCUCCUAUUGACUACGUUGUUUACUCUCAUGGGAUAGCUGGUUCGGCACCAUGGAGAGAGAUUGGUGGGCAUUGUGGUUGCCCCCAGAAGAAAAGAAGAGUAGAAGAGGUUAUGGGUGGGUCAUGUGAACUGACCUUCAACCCAGUUACUUCGUGGGGACUAUUUGCUGUAUAGAGAAGAUCAAGACUCAAGAGUUAGGGAAAAUCAUUGGAGGUCAUGUUUCCCUUCCUUAAGUUUUUCCUAUCAAAUUAUUUGCCUGAUUAGAUUAUGCUAAGGGUGGGAUACUUUAUGUUAGCAGUUGAAUUAAUUAAUUUUAUUUUUUUGUGUGUUUGCAUCCUUGCCCAUCGAUUGCAGUUUAGUAGUUAGUUUUGUAUUUGUCAGGCGUGAUGGUAAUGCCUGUUGAUGAUGUUUCAGAAUUGUAAUCUGUUCGUGAUGAGGAUGGCACAACUCCGAAGCAGAUGUGGGGAGAAGUUGUGAGCUGCCCUGGAAGCCAGUCCAGUAGCUGUUGGAGUUGAGUGGUGUUUGCUGAUGGCCAGCCCAGGGAGCUACUCUUCUCGACAACACUGACUUCGAGGAGUUGCACCAACCUUCACGAGAUAAGAGUUUAAUUAAUUGAAACACUGUAAGGACACUUAAUUUUUUUUGAAGAACGAAAGAAGUAUGGUAAUAAACGGAAACCGAAAAAAAAAAAAAAA
Molecule: long non-coding RNA, 3840 nt
Organism: Bacillus rossius redtenbacheri
Lineage: Eukaryota; Metazoa; Arthropoda; Insecta; Phasmatodea; Bacillidae
Exons: 2
Source: RefSeq, a predicted model, not a curated record